UACGAAGGGGGCUAGCGUUGCUCGGAAUCACUGGGCGUAAAGGGUGCGUAGGCGGGCCUUUAAGUCCGGGGUGAAAUCCUGGAGCUCAACUCCAGAACUGCCUUCGAUACUGCGGGUCUCGAGUCCGGGAGAGGUGAGUGGAAUUCCUAGUGUAGAGGUGAAAUUCGUAGAUAUUCGGAGGAACACCAGUGGCGAAGGCGGCUCACUGGUCCAUUACUGACGCUGAGGUGCGAAAGCGUGGGGAGCAAACAGG
RNAcentral lists this ribosomal RNA (253 nucleotides) under uncultured bacterium. RNAcentral describes it as "partial 16S ribosomal RNA". It matches the Rfam family "Bacterial small subunit ribosomal RNA", at positions 524 to 776 of the family's 1533-position model. The record is from RNAcentral.